RNAcentral lists this ribosomal RNA (365 nucleotides) under uncultured organism. Its description in RNAcentral is "bacterial SSU rRNA". It matches the Rfam family "Bacterial small subunit ribosomal RNA", at positions 526 to 896 of the family's 1533-position model. The record is from RNAcentral.
CGAAGGGAGCUAGCGUUACUCGGAAUCAUUGGGCGUAAAGCGUGCGUAGGCGGUCUUGUAAGUUAGAAGUGAAAUCCUGGGGCUCAACCCUAGAACUGCUUUUAAUACUGCUAGACUAGAAUACUUGAGGGGACAGUAGAAUUCCUAGUGUAGGGGUGAAAUCCGUAGAUAUUAGGAGGAAUACCAGUGGCGAAAGCGACUGUCUGGCAAGUUAUUGACGCUGUUGCACGAAAGCGUGGGGAGCAAACAGGAUUAGAUACCCUGGUAGUCCACGCCAUAAACGAUGAGUGCUAGAUAUCAGAAUUAUUUUGGUGUCGUAGCUAACGCGUUAAGCACUCCGCCUGGGAAGUACGGUCGCAAGAUUA